Non-coding RNA from Pseudopodoces humilis (Tibetan ground-tit), 242 nucleotides. The record is from RefSeq and is a predicted model, not a curated record. NCBI's taxonomy places the organism in Eukaryota, Metazoa, Chordata, Aves, Passeriformes, Paridae.
CUUAGUCAGUGAAUGGCUUUUAUAGAUUAAAUAUGUGUAUGUACUGUAUUAACAAGAUUCUAUGUACCAAAUAUUGAAUUCUUAAUCAGCUGCUUUCGAGGUGUACAGAGAUACUAGGAAAUCCAGCACGAGAAAACAUGUCUGGAAAACCCAAGCUGCACUACUUCAAUGGACGAGGCCGGAUGGAACCAAUUCGGUGGCUACUGGCAGCAGCUGGGGUUGAGUUUGAAGAAUCUUUCAUA